Molecule: ribosomal RNA, 2197 nt
Filed under: Bacillus paramycoides
Lineage: Bacteria; Bacillati; Bacillota; Bacilli; Caryophanales; Bacillaceae
Description: partial 23S ribosomal RNA
Rfam family: Bacterial large subunit ribosomal RNA
Source: RNAcentral
CGGAGCCGCAGCGAAAGCGAGUCUGAAUAGGGCGUUUAGUACGUGGUCGUAGACCCGAAACCAGGUGAUCUACCCAUGUCCAGGGUGAAGUUCAGGUAACACUGAAUGGAGGCCCGAACCCACGCACGUUGAAAAGUGCGGGGAUGAGGUGUGGGUAGCGGAGAAAUUCCAAUCGAACCUGGAGAUAGCUGGUUCUCCCCGAAAUAGCUUUAGGGCUAGCCUUAAGUGUAAGAGUCUUGGAGGUAGAGCACUGAUUGAACUAGGGGUCCUCAUCGGAUUACCGAAUUCAGUCAAACUCCGAAUGCCAAUGACUUAUCCUUAGGAGUCAGACUGCGAGUGAUAAGAUCCGUAGUCAAGAGGGAAACAGCCCAGAUCGCCAGCUAAGGUCCCAAAGUGUGUAUUAAGUGGAAAAGGAUGUGGAGUUGCUUAGACAACUAGGAUGUUGGCUUAGAAGCAGCCACCAUUUAAAGAGUGCGUAAUAGCUCACUAGUCGAGUGACUCUGCGCCGAAAAUGUACCGGGGCUAAAUACACCACCGAAGCUGCGAAUUGAUACCAAUGGUAUCAGUGGUAGGGGAGCGUUCUAAGUGCAGUGAAGUCAGACCGGAAGGACUGGUGGAGCGCUUAGAAGUGAGAAUGCCGGUAUGAGUAGCGAAAGACGGGUGAGAAUCCCGUCCACCGAAUGCCUAAGGUUUCCUGAGGAAGGCUCGUCCGCUCAGGGUUAGUCAGGACCUAAGCCGAGGCCGACAGGCGUAGGCGAUGGACAACAGGUUGAUAUUCCUGUACCACCUCUUUAUCGUUUGAGCAAUGGAGGGACGCAGAAGGAUAGAAGAAGCGUGCGAUUGGUUGUGCACGUCCAAGCAGUUAGGCUGAUAAGUAGGCAAAUCCGCUUAUCGUGAAGGCUGAGCUGUGAUGGGGAAGCUCCUUAUGGAGCGAAGUCUUUGAUUCCCCGCUGCCAAGAAAAGCUUCUAGCGAGAUAAAAGGUGCCUGUACCGCAAACCGACACAGGUAGGCGAGGAGAGAAUCCUAAGGUGUGCGAGAGAACUCUGGUUAAGGAACUCGGCAAAAUGACCCCGUAACUUCGGGAGAAGGGGUGCUUUCUUAACGGAAAGCCGCAGUGAAUAGGCCCAAGCGACUGUUUAGCAAAAACACAGGUCUCUGCGAAGCCGUAAGGCGAAGUAUAGGGGCUGACACCUGCCCGGUGCUGGAAGGUUAAGGAGAGGGGUUAGCGUAAGCGAAGCUCUGAACUGAAGCCCCAGUAAACGGCGGCCGUAACUAUAACGGUCCUAAGGUAGCGAAAUUCCUUGUCGGGUAAGUUCCGACCCGCACGAAAGGUGUAACGAUUUGGGCACUGUCUCAACCAGAGACUCGGUGAAAUUAUAGUACCUGUGAAGAUGCAGGUUACCCGCGACAGGACGGAAAGACCCCGUGGAGCUUUACUGUAGCCUGAUAUUGAAUUUUGGUACAGUUUGUACAGGAUAGGCGGGAGCCAUUGAAACCGGAGCGCUAGCUUCGGUGGAGGCGCUGGUGGGAUACCGCCCUGACUGUAUUGAAAUUCUAACCUACGGGUCUUAUCGACCCGGGAGACAGUGUCAGGUGGGCAGUUUGACUGGGGCGGUCGCCUCCUAAAGUGUAACGGAGGCGCCCAAAGGUUCCCUCAGAAUGGUUGGAAAUCAUUCGUAGAGUGCAAAGGCAUAAGGGAGCUUGACUGCGAGACCUACAAGUCGAGCAGGGACGAAAGUCGGGCUUAGUGAUCCGGUGGUUCCGCAUGGAAGGGCCAUCGCUCAACGGAUAAAAGCUACCCCGGGGAUAACAGGCUUAUCUCCCCCAAGAGUCCACAUCGACGGGGAGGUUUGGCACCUCGAUGUCGGCUCAUCGCAUCCUGGGGCUGUAGUCGGUCCCAAGGGUUGGGCUGUUCGCCCAUUAAAGCGGUACGCGAGCUGGGUUCAGAACGUCGUGAGACAGUUCGGUCCCUAUCCGUCGUGGGCGUAGGAAAUUUGAGAGGAGCUGUCCUUAGUACGAGAGGACCGGGAUGGACGCACCGCUGGUGUACCAGUUGUUCUGCCAAGGGCAUAGCUGGGUAGCUAUGUGCGGAAGGGAUAAGUGCUGAAAGCAUCUAAGCAUGAAGCCCCCCUCAAGAUGAGAUUUCCCAUAGCGUAAGCUAGUAAGAUCCCUGAAAGAUGAUCAGGUUGAUAGGUU